Molecule: ribosomal RNA, 403 nt
Filed under: uncultured bacterium
Lineage: Bacteria
Description: partial 16S ribosomal RNA
Rfam family: Bacterial small subunit ribosomal RNA
Source: RNAcentral
GACGAACGCUGGCGGCGUGCCUAAUACAUGCAAGUCGAACGCAGUGGGGACGGGGGAGUAACACGUGGGUAACCUCCCAUCAGAGGGGAUAACACUUGGAAACAGGUGCUAAACCGAUAGUGGUGGAUGGGCCCGCGGUGCAUUAGCUAGUUGGUGAGGGAACGGCUCACCAAGGCCGCGAUGCAGAGCCGAACUGAGAGGGUGAUCGGCAACACUGGUACUGAGACACGGCCCAGACUCCUACGGGAGGCAGCAGUAGGGAAUCUUCGGCAAUGGACGAAAGUCUGACCGAGCAACGCCGCGUGAGUGAAGAAGGUGUGCGGAUCGUAAAACUCUGUUGUUAGAGAAGCGGUAUCUAACCAGAAAGCCACGGCUAACUACGUGCCAGCAGCCGCGGUAAUAC